GACGAACGCUGGCGGCGCGCUUAACACAUGCAAGUCGAACGGAAGGGCCUGCUUUCCCUUGUGGAUUGCGGGUACUCGAGUGGCGAACGGGUGAGUAACACGUGAGUGAUCUGCCCCCAACUUGGGUAUAAGCCUGGGAAACUGGGUCUAAUUCCCGAUAGGACUGCAGGGUGGUGCCUGUGGUGGAAAACGAUUUUCUAGUGGUUGGGGAUGAGCUCGCGGCCUAUCAGCUUGUUGGUGGGGUAAUGGCCUACCAAGGCGGCGACGGGUAGCCGGCCUGAGAGGGUGGACGGCCACAUUGGGACUGAGAUACGGCCCAGACUCCUACGGGAGGCAGCAGUGGGGAAUAUUGCACAAUGGGCGGAAGCCUGAUGCAGUGACGCCGCGUGGGGGAUGACGGCCUUCGGGUUGUAAACUCCUUUCGACCGCGAGGAAGCCACCUGGUUGGAAGGGUGGUGACGGUAGUGGUAGAAGAAGCACCGGCUAACUACGUG
RNAcentral lists this ribosomal RNA (494 nucleotides) under uncultured bacterium. RNAcentral describes it as "partial 16S ribosomal RNA". It matches the Rfam family "Bacterial small subunit ribosomal RNA", at positions 28 to 507 of the family's 1533-position model. The record is from RNAcentral.